GCAGCAUUUUCAGAAAUGAUGAUAAUUUAUUUUUCAUUUUUCUAAUUUUCUUUAACAUUUAUAGUUAUAAAACACCUAGUACUACUUAUUGGGAAGUUAUAUAUAUAAUUUCAGGAUAAUUUAUUAAUGUUCCAUAAACAAAUAUUUUCCUACCACAACUUCUUCUGAUUUUAUAUUCAUACAAUCAUCUUCCUGUUGACCUGUAGAUAUUUUGUUUUUGGGGAUAGGGUUUGUGUUGUUGGGUUACUGAUUCAUUGCCAUGACACUGCAUCUCCUUUAUUGAUAUUUUAUUGCCUAAAUUAGCAGUUGGCUAGUGCAAUGUACUUGUUUAUGUAUGUGAUUGUUCCCCAAAUUUCAAAUAAUAAAAGGUUCUUUUUAUUUGCAUAAUUUAAAAACAUUUAUAGGUAUUUACUUUUAGCGCAUUACAUAAAUGAUUGAAUGGUACAAAUUAAUAUACAAUAUGCAUUUGUUUUUAUAAACCCUAUUUAAUUUAAUACGUCAAUUGUUGAAUAAAAUUAUUUAU
RNAcentral lists this long non-coding RNA (523 nucleotides) under Mytilus galloprovincialis (Mediterranean mussel). Lineage: Eukaryota; Metazoa; Mollusca; Bivalvia; Mytilida; Mytilidae. The record is from RNAcentral.